AUUCCGGUUGAUCCUGCCGGAGGCCAUUGCUAUCGGAGUCCGAUUUAGCCAUGCUAGUCGCACGGGCUUAGACCCGUGGCAUAUAGCUCAGUAACACGUGGCCAAACUACCCUACAGACCGCGAUAACCUCGGGAAACUGAGGCCAAUAGCGGAUAUAACUCUCAUGCUGGAGUGCCGAGAGUUAGAAACGUUCCGGCGCUGUAGGAUGUGGCUGCGGCCGAUUAGGUAGAUGGUGGGGUAACGGCCCACCAUGCCGAUAAUCGGUACGGGUUGUGAGAGCAAGAACCCGGAGGCGGUAUCUGAGACAAGAUACCGGGCCCUACGGGGCGCAGCAGGCGCGAAACCUUUACACUGCACGACAGUGCGAUAGGGGGACUCCGAGUGUGAGGGCAUAUAGCCCUCGCUUUUCUGUACCGUAAGGUGGUACAGGAACAAGGACUGGGCAAGACCGGUGCCAGCCGCCGCGGUAAUACCGGCAGUCCAAGUGAUGGCCGAUAUUAUUGGGCCUAAAGCGUCCGUAGCU
Molecule: ribosomal RNA, 524 nt
Filed under: uncultured archaeon
Lineage: Archaea
Description: bacterial SSU rRNA
Rfam family: Archaeal small subunit ribosomal RNA
Source: RNAcentral